CCCGUGAACCCAGGAGGCAGAGGUUGCCACUGCACUCCAGCCUGGGCAACAAGAACAAAACUCCAUCUCAAAAAGAAAGAAAAAGGAGACAUGACAUUACAAUACUUCAGAAAUUCAAAGGACCUUUAGUGGCUACUAUGAGCAAUUAUAUGCCAAGAAAUUGGAAAAUCUAGAAGAAAUGGAUAAAUUCCUAGACACGUACACCCUACCAAGAUUCAACCAUAAAGAAAUCCAAAAGCUGAACAGGCCAAUAACAAGGAACAACAUGGAAGCCGUAAUAAAAAGUCUUUCCGGCUGGGCAUGGUGGUUCAGGUCUGUAAUCCCAGCACUCCGGGCGGCCAAGGCGGCGCACACCUGUAAUCUUGUUUACAAUAGUCGAAAGGUGGAAACAACCCAAAUGUCCAUUGAGAGAUAAACAGAUAAACAAAAUGUGUAUAUGUAAGGAAUGGAACGCUAUUCAGCCUUAAAAAUGAACAAAAUUCUGACACGUGCGACAACAUGGAUGCUUUAUUUUAUUUUUUUUGAGACAGAGUUUUGCUCUUGUCGCCCAGGUUGGAAUGCAGUGGUGCAACCUCAGCUCACUGCAACCUCCACCUCCCAGGUUCUCGUGAUCCGCCCACCUCAGCCUCCCAAAGUGCUGGGAUUACAGGCGUGAACCACUACAGCUGGCCAACAUUUCUCAACAGAAGACAUACAAAUGGCUCUUUCCCAUCUUGCAAGAUGGCGGGUGAAAAAGUUGAGAAGCCAGAUACUAAAGAGAAGAAACCCGAAGCCAAGAAGGCUGAUGCUGGUGGCAAGGUGAAAAAGGUUAACCUCAAGGCUAAGAAGCCCAAGAAGGGGAAGCCCCAUUGCAGCCGCAACCCCGUCUUUGUCAGAGGAAUUGGCAGGUAUUCCCGAUCUGCCAUGUAUUCCAGAAAGGCCAUGUACAAGAAGAAGUACUCAGCCGCUAAAUCCAAGCUUGAAAUGAAAAAGAAGGAGAAGGUUCUUGCAACUCUUACAAAACCAGUUGGUGGUGACAAGUAUGGUGGUACCUGGGUGGUUAAACUUCGCAAAAUGCCUAGAUACUAUCCUACUGAAGAUGUGCCUCGAAAGCUGUUGAGCCACGGCAAAAAAACCCUUCAGUCAGCACGUGAGAAAACUGCGAGCCAGCAUUCCCCCCGGGACCGUUCUGAUCAUCCUCACUGGACGCCACAGGGGCAAGAGGGUGGUUUUCCUGAAGCAGCUGGCUAGUGGCUUGUUACUUGUGACUGGACCUCUGGUCCUCAAUCGAGUUCCUCUAUGAAGAACACACCAGAAAUUUGUCAUUGCCACCUCAACCAAAAUCGAUAUCAGCAAUGUCAAAAUCCCAAAACAUCUUACUGAUGCUUACUUCAAGAAGCAGCAGCUACGGAAGCCCAGACACCAGGAAGGUGAGAUCUUCGACACAGAAAAAGAGAAAUACGAGAUUACAGAGCAGCACAAGAUUGAUCAGAAAGCUGUGGACUCACAAAUUCUACCAAAAAUCAAAGCUGUUCCUCAGCUCCAGGGCUACCUGGAUCUGUGUUUGCCCUGACGAAUGGAAUUUAUCCUCACAAAUUGGUGUUCUAA
Molecule: non-coding RNA, 1587 nt
Organism: Chlorocebus sabaeus (green monkey)
Lineage: Eukaryota; Metazoa; Chordata; Mammalia; Primates; Cercopithecidae
Source: RefSeq, a predicted model, not a curated record